AACGAACGCUGGCGGCAUGCCUAACACAUGCAAGUCGAACGAGACCUUCGGGUCUAGUGGCGCACGGGUGCGUAACGCGUGGGAACCUGCCCUUAGGUUCGGAAUAACUCCCCGAAAGGGGUGCUAAUACCGGAUAAUGUCUUCGGAGCAAAGAUUUAUCGCCUUUGGAUGGGCCCGCGUUGGAUUAGCUGGUUGGUAGGGUAAAAGCCUACCAAGGCGACGAUCCAUAGCUGGUCUGAGAGGAUGAUCAGCCACACUGGGACUGAGACACGGCCCAGACUCCUACGGGAGGCAGCAGUGGGGAAUAUUGGACACUGGGCGAAAGCCUGAUCCAGCAAUGCCGCGUGAGUGAUGAAGGCCUUAGGGUUGUAAAGCUCUCUUACCCGGGAUGAUAAUGACAGUACCGGGAGAAUAAGCUCCGGCUAACUCCGUG
This 433-nucleotide ribosomal RNA is filed under the name uncultured bacterium. RNAcentral describes it as "partial 16S ribosomal RNA". It matches the Rfam family "Bacterial small subunit ribosomal RNA", at positions 29 to 507 of the family's 1533-position model. The record is from RNAcentral.